Molecule: long non-coding RNA, 2133 nt
Organism: Ailuropoda melanoleuca (giant panda)
Lineage: Eukaryota; Metazoa; Chordata; Mammalia; Carnivora; Ursidae
Exons: 3
Source: RefSeq, a predicted model, not a curated record
GACCCAUAAGAUCUGUAUGUCAAUUGCAGGAGCACCUUCCUCUCGUUUCAAUGAACUGUUGUGAAAAUUCUCUCUACAGGGGAUGAAUAUGGAGAGAAUGAGCCUGUCGUGUUGAUGUCAUCUUCAAGGCUAAGGAUUGAAACACCAUUGCUGCUAAAUUCACAGUGAUGUGGUCACCGCCGCUGAAAUGCAGCAGUUUCUUCUGGGUUCUUCCUAGAGGACGAAAGUUGUACGUCAGCAACAUAAAAUGCAUGAGUCCCCCUUCCUGACCCUGGUGAGAUGCCAAGAAAGAGGUGGUUUUCUGGAGGAGGUUUGCUUGGGGGGAAGUGUCUGUAUCCACUUCUGUGACGUAGAGUGCCAGCCUGUAAUUGAGAAUUGUAUGUAAUUGAGAAUUGUAUGUAAUUGAGAAUGAAUGCCACCUGUGUAUACACAGGAAACAGGUGAAGCCAUUUUUCUCAUGAAUGGGAUUGAACUAUUCUCCCGCACAAGGAUUUCUCAACUGCUUAAAUAUCACCUCCUCAACAAGGGCCCAUCUGACUAUCAUGUUGGAAAUAGCAACCCACCUCCCCAUAUGGAUUCUUCCUUAAUGUUUUCGUCUUCCUUAACCCCAUUAAUUUAAUGGAAUAUGUCGGUUUCAGAUUUAUUAUGUCUAUUGAUUAUUGUCUAUCUCUUCUAGCUAGAAUGCAGUCUUUUUGGGGACAGGAAUGUGUGUUUGUUUUUUGCCUAAAGAGUUGAUAAUUUGUUGAAUGAACAAACAGAUACAUAGAUUUAUUCACCUUUGCUUGUAUAUGCACAGAGAAGUUCUAGAAACUUCCUGAAAAAAUAAUAACAGUUGUUCCUAGGGCAAGGAAAAUGGGGAGAGGUGGUCUGGAUGAACUGGGGGUGGGGUGGGAGGAAGAUUUCAAUUUUUGAUUUUUGAACCAUGUGAAUUUUUGAGGUCUGUGUGUGUGUAUUCAGAAAUCACUGUUUCUAAAGUCACCUGCCAUCUCUGACAGGCCUGACUUCCACCUCUCCAUUCUCUCAAAAGAGAUCUCUCUUCCUUCUUUUUCCCGUGCCUCUUUAAUUUCUCUGUAAAGCCUUAAAACAGUAAAUUUUUCCCUCCAACAUACAUAUGCAUCAGCACAUAUCCUUUCUGUGUAAAUGAAUCUGUAAGAAAAGUGUAACAUUGAACUUCGGUUUCAAAGCAGAGCUAUCCCACUCAAAUACAGAACGUAACCAAGUGUUUAGUAAAGGCUUCUUGUUCAACAGCAACAACAAAAAUUGACUCCAGGAAGAGUGAUAGUGACCUUAGAGGGUUGGAUAAACUGAUGGUUCAUGCUGGCAACUGCUUUGUCGGGCAUUAGCCCUCUCUCCCAGGGUCACCUAACAGAAGGUCCGUUGUGUACAGAUGAAGUAACUACCGUGCUGGAAACACAUGCUCAGGGGUUCUCCCUGCUGAGAGUUUCCCUGAGGCCAGAUAUUGGCUUCCAGGCUGCACCCUCCACCAUUUUAAUGGAAGGACUUACUUGUGUUAAGCCAUCUGAGGGGAAUGCCUCAGAGAGACUGAGAGAACACAAACAAGCAGAUCUGCAACGUGGUGUGAAGAAAACAGAAGAGGCACGUGAGCUGGGAUGUGUUAAACAUGAUGAAUUCAUUUACGCAGGCACCAGCAGAAUCUAAAAUCAAGACAAAGCCAGGAGCCUUGCCUUCAAAUCGCCAGUGUGUGGAGCACAAGUAAAAACUUAAGAUAUAGAUGCUUUCUUCUUCCCCUCCAGCCUCUUUUUCACCUCCCCACACAUUUUCCUGCCAGCUAUAGGCAAGCGAAUUAUUAUUUGGGCCAAAUUCUUCUAGGAAGGAAAGAGUAAACUCAAUCCAUCUUCAUUCCUCUCCUCUGACAAGGUAGGUAAGACAGUAAUGAUAUCAGUCUUUUAACUCACUGGAUUUUGUUCACAGGGAUUUAAUGAAUAUUCGUUAAUACACUGUAAUAAGCAAUGAGAAAUUAUGAAGCAUAGCAAAGUGAUAAAGGUCAUGAAUUAUAAAUUCCUAAACCCUUAUGCAGAAAACUGAUUUCUUCUUAGUGCAUUAAGAUCUGACCAUCCCCAGAUGCAGUGCCUUUUGAGUACAUCUAUGAAUUUUAAUUCAGUAAAUAAUUAA